Molecule: unclassified non-coding RNA, 360 nt
Filed under: uncultured bacterium
Lineage: Bacteria
Description: contains 16S-23S intergenic spacer region
Source: RNAcentral
UCCGUAUUACUACGGCAGUUUCGCUAGAGUGAUACAACUAGCAAUAGGGGUUGCGCUCGUUAACCCACUUAAGGGUACGCCUCACAGCACGAGCUGACGACAGCCAUGCAACACCUGUGCAAGCUUCAAAUUUCUUUGAUCGUUCCGCUUUCGCUUCACUACUACUUGCAUGUCAAACCCUGGUAAGGUUCUUGGGUUAGCAGCCAAUUAAAGAGCAUGCUCCACCGCUUGUGCGGGUCCCCGCCAAUUCCUUUGAGUUUUAGCCUUGCGGCCGUACUACCCAGGCGGUCUGCUUAACGCGUUAGCUUCGACACCCACAAAAGCAGGCAUCUAGCAGACAUAGUUUACGGCGUGGAGUAC